CACGACCAAUCCUGUGAACACGACGCCGAACUCAUGGGCCCUGCCGAGUACUUCCCCAGGGUGCUGACCCAUAAGUAUCACAACUUGUGCUCUGCGGAGCUGGGGCUCACGGCUCAGCAGCUCAGAGGUUCUGCGCGCUCUGGGCUCCUCGGACGCCAGCCUCAGCGCUGAGUACAGCAUCUGCCGGGAGGAGAAGGCGGUCAGGGAAUUCUUCGCCUGCGGCCUCCUCUUCAACGUGAUCGUGAGCAGCGAUCCUCCGAAGGAGAAAUUGUGCACGGCGUACAAGGAUCUGGAGAAGUGCACCAAUGACCUGCAGUGCAGCACCCAGUCGGACUUCAACACGCACUCGAAGCACGUGCUAGACGCGCUGCUCAGCCCGUACACGCAGUACUGCCGCGGCUUCGAGCCCGUCGAGGAGAAAAAUGUCACGGCGCAGCCGACAACGACGGGUCACGUGACCUACGUGGAGAAGUGCGACGAAGCCGCGCACUUGGAGAAGUACUUCCACUGCGGCCUAACGUUCAUAUUCAGCCUGCGAGACGCCAGGUUCCCCGACGAGUCACACCGCAACGGCCUGGUG
Molecule: long non-coding RNA, 580 nt
Organism: Dermacentor silvarum
Lineage: Eukaryota; Metazoa; Arthropoda; Arachnida; Ixodida; Ixodidae
Exons: 3
Source: RefSeq, a predicted model, not a curated record